GAGGGUAUAGCUCAAGUGGUAGAGUGCAUGCUUAGCAUGCACUAGGUCCUGGGUUCAAUUCCCAGUACAUUAU
RNAcentral lists this transfer RNA (73 nucleotides) under Camelus ferus (Wild Bactrian camel). It matches the Rfam family "tRNA". Rfam says of the family: Transfer RNA (tRNA) molecules are approximately 80 nucleotides in length. Their secondary structure includes four short double-helical elements and three loops (D, anti-codon, and T loops). The record is from Rfam by way of RNAcentral. Lineage: Eukaryota; Metazoa; Chordata; Mammalia; Artiodactyla; Camelidae.